Molecule: long non-coding RNA, 306 nt
Organism: Leopardus geoffroyi (Geoffroy's cat)
Lineage: Eukaryota; Metazoa; Chordata; Mammalia; Carnivora; Felidae
Exons: 3
Source: RefSeq, a predicted model, not a curated record
UCGGAUCUUCCCUAAAGUGGCGCACAGAAGGGCCCACUGUAGAUAACUAGUAGAGAGCCUCUGGAGCACAGAUGGUGCCCCUUUAAAUAACUAUGCUGUGACCUCACCACUGUGCCCCUCCCUCUAUAAAAGCUGGGGGUAAGGCCCUGGCAGGGUGGAGAGUAGUUGUGCGGUCUUUGGAUUGUUUGCCUGCUGGAUUCUUUCUUGUCAGAUGUGGCAUGUUAGGCCAUUGGUGAAAUGCAAGCUCCUGGGAAAUCAAGCUGAUGCUACAGAGACAGAGCAUGAACAGGGGAGGGUCAGAGAGAG